CCUACGGGAGGCAGCAGUGGGGAAUAUUGCACAAUGGGGGAAACCCUGAUGCAGCGACGCCGCGUGAGUGAAGAAGUAUUUCGGUAUGUAAAGCUCUAUCAGCAGGGAAGAAGAAAGACGGUACCUGACUAAGAAGCCCCGGCUAACUACGUGCCAGCAGCCGCGGUAAUACGUAGGGGGCAAGCGUUAUCCGGAUUUACUGGGUGUAAAGGGAGCGUAGACGGCUGUGCAAGUCUGAAGUAAAAGCGCAGGGCUCAACCCUGGGACUGCUUUGGAAACUGUGGAGCUAGAGUGCUGGAGAGGUAAGUGGAAUUCCUAGUGUAGCGGUGAAAUGCGUAGAUAUUAGGAGGAACACCAGUGGCGAAGGCGGCUUACUGGACAGUAACUGACGUUGAGGCUCGAAAGCGUGGGGAGCGAACAGGAUUAGAUACCCCUGUAGUC
RNAcentral lists this ribosomal RNA (441 nucleotides) under uncultured bacterium. Its description in RNAcentral is "partial 16S ribosomal RNA". It matches the Rfam family "Bacterial small subunit ribosomal RNA", at positions 338 to 795 of the family's 1533-position model. The record is from RNAcentral.